UGGUGUAGCUCAAUUGGCAGAGCAGCUGAUUUGUAAUCAGCAGGUUGCUGGUUCGAUUCCGGUCACC
RNAcentral lists this transfer RNA (67 nucleotides) under chicken gut metagenome. It matches the Rfam family "tRNA". From Rfam's summary of the family: Transfer RNA (tRNA) molecules are approximately 80 nucleotides in length. Their secondary structure includes four short double-helical elements and three loops (D, anti-codon, and T loops). The record is from RNAcentral.